RNAcentral lists this ribosomal RNA (204 nucleotides) under uncultured bacterium. Its description in RNAcentral is "partial 16S ribosomal RNA". It matches the Rfam family "Bacterial small subunit ribosomal RNA", at positions 570 to 774 of the family's 1533-position model. The record is from RNAcentral.
CGUAGGCGGCGGCGGAAGUCGGGUGUGAAAGCCCGGAGCUCAACUCCGGAAUUGCACUCGAAACUUCGUUGCUGGAGGUCGGAAGAGGAGAGUGGAAUACCCAUGUAGAGGUGAAAUUCGUAGAUAUUGGGUGGAACACCAGUGGCGAAAGCGGCUCUCUGGUCCGAACCUGACGCUGAGGCGCGAAAGCGUGGGGAGCAAACA